This 506-nucleotide ribosomal RNA is filed under the name uncultured bacterium. RNAcentral describes it as "partial 16S ribosomal RNA". It matches the Rfam family "Bacterial small subunit ribosomal RNA", at positions 29 to 523 of the family's 1533-position model. The record is from RNAcentral.
AGUGAACGCUGGCGGUAGGCCUAACACAUGCAAGUCGAACGGCAGCACAGAGGAGCUUGCUCCUUGGGUGGCGAGUGGCGGACGGGUGAGGAAUACAUCGGAAUCUACUCUGUCGUGGGGGAUAACGUAGGGAAACUUACGCUAAUACCGCAUACGACCUACGGGUGAAAGCAGGGGAUCUUCGGACCUUGCGCGAUUGAAUGAGCCGAUGUCGGAUUAGCUAGUUGGCGGGGUAAAGGACCACCAAGGCGACGAUCCGUAGCUGGUGUGAGAGGAUGAUCAGCCAGACUGGAACUGGGACACGGUCCAUACUCCUACGGGAGACAGCAGUGGGGAAUAAUGGACAAGGGGCGCAAGCCUGAUCCAUCCAUACCGCGUGGGUGAAGAAGGCCUUCGGGUUGUAAAGCCCUUUUGUUGGGAAAAAAAUCCAUCUGGUUAAUACCCGGGUGGGAUGACGGUACCCAAAGAAUAAGCACCGGCUAACUUCGUGCCAGCCGCCGCCGUAA